Molecule: ribosomal RNA, 252 nt
Filed under: uncultured bacterium
Lineage: Bacteria
Description: partial 16S ribosomal RNA
Rfam family: Bacterial small subunit ribosomal RNA
Source: RNAcentral
UACGUAGGUGGCAAGCGUUGUCCGGAUUUAUUGGGCGUAAAGCGAGCGCAGGUGGUUUAUUAAGUCUGGUGUAAAAGGCAGUGGCUCAACCAUUGUAUGCAUUGGAAACUGGUAGACUUGAGUGCAGGAGAGGAGAGUGGAAUCCCAUGUGUAGCGGUGAAAUGCGUAGAUAUAUGGAGGAACACCGGUGGCGAAAGCGGCUCUCUGGCCUGUAACUGACACUGAGGCUCGAAAGCGUGGGGAGCAAACAGG